UGCACCGCCGACCGACCUUGAU
This 22-nucleotide non-coding RNA is filed under the name Arabidopsis thaliana (thale cress). The record is from RNAcentral. Lineage: Eukaryota; Viridiplantae; Streptophyta; Magnoliopsida; Brassicales; Brassicaceae.